UUGGAGGGCAAGUCUGGUGCCAGCAGCCGCGGUAAUUCCAGCUCCAAUAGCGUAUAUUAAAGUUGUUGCAGUUAAAAAGCUCGUAGUUGAAUUUCGGGAUCGACGGGUCGGUCGCGCCUCUGGUGUGUACUGGCCCUGUCGGUUUCUCCCUUCUGACGAACCACGAUGUCAUUAAUUUGGUGUCGUGGGAAAUCAGGACUGUUACUUUGAAAAAAUUAGAGUGUUUAAAGCAGGCAUUCGCUUGAAUACAUUAGCAUGGAAUAAUGAAAUAGGACGUUUGAUCUUAUUUUGUUGGUUUCUAAGAUCGACGUAAUGAUUAAUAGGGAUAGUUGGGGGCAUUAGUAUUCAAUUGUCAGAGGUGAAAUUCUUGGAUUUACUGAAGACUAACUACUGCGAAAGCAUUUGCCAAGGAUGUUUUCAUUAAUCAAGAACGAAAGUUAGGGGAUCGAAGACGAUCAGAUACCGUCGUAGUCUUAACCAUAAACUAUGCCGACUAGGGAUCGGAUGAUGUUAAUUUUUUAAUGACUCAUUCGGCGCCUUACGGGAAACCAAAGUGUUUGGGU
RNAcentral lists this ribosomal RNA (563 nucleotides) under uncultured Glomus. RNAcentral's name for it is "SSU rRNA". It matches the Rfam family "Eukaryotic small subunit ribosomal RNA", at positions 548 to 1112 of the family's 1831-position model. The record is from RNAcentral. Lineage: Eukaryota; Fungi; Glomeromycota; Glomeromycetes; Glomerales; Glomeraceae.